Molecule: long non-coding RNA, 1268 nt
Organism: Cynoglossus semilaevis (tongue sole)
Lineage: Eukaryota; Metazoa; Chordata; Actinopteri; Pleuronectiformes; Cynoglossidae
Exons: 2
Source: RefSeq, a predicted model, not a curated record
UGAAACAUUCCCAGACAGCCUCCUUAAAAACAUAUUUUACUCAAAGCACACCAUAUUCAGUAAAUAAUAAAACAUUACAAAAAGACAAAAAUAGGUUAUUUGAAAGUAUUAGUUGACUAAUUAGUUAUUUAAACAAAAAAAAAAUCAACUGCAUUCUGUAAUUCCAAGUAAUCAGUUAUUACACGUCAAGGACUUGACAUAUGCAAAUAAUAAUAAAAUAAAAUCACAGCCAUUUUGCCAUGUUGCAAGCAGACUGGUUUUUACUGGCCUUUGUCAUUUCAUUCUCAAACAAAUAUAUAAAUAUGGAAUAACAUUAAAAACCAGGUAACAUGAGAAAAAAUUUAAUGUUUGAGUAGUAUAAAAUGAAAAACAAACAAACAAAAAAACACUAUAAAAAAAAGUUUUCCCAUUACACAUUAAAUGCAGGAGCACCACAGAGUUCACUAGUAUAAUAGUGUAAGGACAGAUUUUACUGGUCCCAGGUCUGAGUCAAGUCUCUAGUGUUCAGUCAGAGACUAAGAAUGAGAUUGUUAGAAAAUGGAGUCUGCGUUGUUUUGAAGGUAACUUCUGUGCCAUUUGUGCUUACGCAAAAUCAGCAAAGGCCAAAACAUGAUGCAAUGAGAGUAAAUGUGCCCCCCUGAAAUACUGCAGAGAGAAUAUUUUUGAAAGUUUGUUGAUAUCCAAGCAGACACAAUUAUUUAUGAGAUAUGGUACAUAUACGUUUUAAUCUGAUUCCAUUCUAAUACACACACAUUUUAUUUGGUCCUUUGAAGUCUCGAGGUAUGGCGGUUUCCAGGCAUUACAUAAAAUCAAGCUCCUACUGGACAACAGAAAAUUAUAAGUGGAUUAAUAUACAAAUACAAAUGAAUUAACUGCUAAACUUGUCGAGCCAUAUCUUUCGAAAGCUGAAUCAUUCAUUUGAGGUAACUUUCUUCUCCGAGACAGUCAACAAGAUGCAGACAAAAACAUAAUAUUUCAAGAUGUCUUCUAAAAGGUCAUUUAGCAUAUCUUUCAUUUUGCAUUUGAGAACCCAGUGACUAAAAAUCAUCAAAUCAUCAUCAAGACUGGCUUCACUAAAGCAGCCAGUUGUCAAAUAUAACGUCCACAUAUCUUCACUACAGUUUAAUCCACCGCUCUUUAUCACUUAAUUUACAAAAACUGACAUGGUCUAUUUUGGGAUAGACCUAAAACUAUUGAUCUAUCUUGUUUACAUGUGACAUUAUCCCAAAGAUGACUCAUAACUAUUAUUAUCAACUGCUAAAAAAAAA